Molecule: long non-coding RNA, 1240 nt
Filed under: Parus major (Great Tit)
Lineage: Eukaryota; Metazoa; Chordata; Aves; Passeriformes; Paridae
Description: lncRNA (ENSPMJG00000011088.1)
Source: RNAcentral
AAAAAUAUAAUUUUUUUAUUUUAUCACUUUUUUAUUUAUAGGUUAAUUUGCAAUGCUAUGGCAAUUUCCUCAUGUUUGAAAAAAUACGAUCAAUGGCCAUCAAUGAGUUUGAUCUCAAUCCUGAAGUAUUUACUUCAACUUUGCAGUUCAUUCAGAAAGCAUCUUCAGAAGCCAGUCCUUAAGCUGAAAACUAUGAAGGAAGAGGCUGGAAAAGGUUCUUGUACCUGCCACGGCCAAAUGGUGACGACUCAGCCUUGAAGAUGAAGACAGGAGUGUGUGCUGGGGGCGAUGGCCAGCGGCUGCAGUCCACAGGGGAGUGUCACUGCUGCAUUACUUUAGAGAUGGUCACAACAGUGUGGUUUGUCCCAUAAAGACUGCUUUAUUUUCAUUCAGUUCAGAGACAUGAGAGGUGCAUAAGAACAAGCUGUAGACAAGGUAUAAAAGCACUCCAAAGGAGGUUGAUUUACUCUAGAGGGAGGAAGUCAUCUUGUGUGAUCCUAAAUUAAAGUUUUUGGUUUAAUCACAAUUUUGCCCUAAGGUUUUGGCUGUUCAGAAGAAUGAACUAUAUAAUCUGAUAGUUUUUUGACACUCAAUAACUAGCAGUCCUUAGAAAUCUGACUUUUUGAAGCAGUAAUGCUAAGGAGACAGACACAUUACUAACCUGGAGCACCGCUUGCCUAGCAAGCAGGAGGUAUAUUACUGAGCUAAAAGCACAUAGUAUUUCUAACAUAACUAACUGCAGAUUAAAGGCUGCUGUCAGGAAAGGUGCUUUACUCAGCUUCCAGCAUGGAUGGCAGCUGCUCUGUGUAUUUGAGAGGUAGUAGUAGUAGUAGUCAGAUAUUUUUUGUGUUCAUUGUUAGUGAGGUGAUCUGAGUCAGACACUGAAUCUUACCAAGGUCAGAAGAGACGACCAGCAAGCAGCUUUACCUGUCUCCUGCCACUACAGGUAAAGAACAUGGGGACAAAGUGGUUGUGCAGCUGCUGUUGUUGCACUCCAGACUGACCUGAGAGGUUUCAUGCUGGUUUUACAUGACUUGUUUCCAACAUACUCCACAGAAACUGAUGCCUGCAGGCAUGUGUGGAACGGGAAACAGACAGAGGCAGGGACAUAAUUUCCCAAAGCUGCCUUCAGACCUUACCCUUACUUUUGAUCCAUGAGACAGCUGGCAAGAAUUUGAUAGGCCCUUAAGUAGGAGAAAAGCUGCUUACCACAAAUAAAGGGGUGGAGGACACAUAUUCA